UCCCUGGAGGACUAGGGGCUAGGCUACAGUGCUCUCACCACUGCAGCCUGGGUUCGAGUCCCCGCCAGGGAG
This 72-nucleotide transfer RNA is filed under the name Pangasianodon hypophthalmus (striped catfish). Its description in RNAcentral is "tRNA-Glu". Lineage: Eukaryota; Metazoa; Chordata; Actinopteri; Siluriformes; Pangasiidae. The record is from RNAcentral.